This 253-nucleotide ribosomal RNA is filed under the name uncultured bacterium. Its description in RNAcentral is "partial 16S ribosomal RNA". It matches the Rfam family "Bacterial small subunit ribosomal RNA", at positions 524 to 776 of the family's 1533-position model. The record is from RNAcentral.
UACGGAGGGGGUUAGCGUUGUUCGGAAUUACUGGGCGUAAAGCGCACGUAGGCGGAUUAGUAAGUUAGAGGUGAAAUCCCAGGGCUCAACCCUGGAACUGCCUUUAAUACUGCUAGUCUUGAGUUCGAGAGAGGUAAGUGGAAUUCCGAGUGUAGAGGUGAAAUUCGUAGAUAUUCGGAAGAACACCAGUGGCGAAGGCGGCUGGCUGGUCAAGAAUUGACGCUGAGGUGCGAAAGCGUGGGGAGCAAACAGG